Molecule: long non-coding RNA, 349 nt
Organism: Hipposideros armiger (great roundleaf bat)
Lineage: Eukaryota; Metazoa; Chordata; Mammalia; Chiroptera; Hipposideridae
Exons: 3
Source: RefSeq, a predicted model, not a curated record
GGUGAGAUGAGCAAAACAGAAUGCAACUUUCAAGGUUCAUUUCGAGCAGUUGGCUUGUGGGAAUCUGAGAGCUUCUGCUGCCCAUGACAUGUUGGAAUUAUCAUGAUCAACUACCCGGUUUGGAUUUCACCCAGUGGCCAAGUGAUUUGCUUGGUAGACAGCAAGGGUUGGAUUUUUAAAAAGAGUAAACCAGGCUGGCUGAAGGGGAAAGGGCUCUUCGAUUUUCAAAUAAAGUGCUUUCCGACGAUAAUUGAGAAGAACUGAGAGAUACGUGGCGAGGUUAGGAUGUCAUUCCUGUUUCUUGGCUGGAGCCAGUGGAAGGACAAUCUGGGGUGAUACCACGGUAUCU